RNAcentral lists this ribosomal RNA (849 nucleotides) under uncultured Chloroflexota bacterium. RNAcentral's name for it is "bacterial SSU rRNA". It matches the Rfam family "Bacterial small subunit ribosomal RNA", at positions 28 to 895 of the family's 1533-position model. The record is from RNAcentral. Lineage: Bacteria; Bacillati; Chloroflexota.
GAUAAACGUUGGCGGUGCGCUUUAUGCAUGCAAGUCGAACGGGGUUAUGGUUUUCGGACUGUAACCUAGUGGCGAACGGUUGAGUAACACGUAAAUAACCUACCUCUGAGUGGGGGAUAACCUGUCGAAAGGCAGGCUAAUACCGCGGUGGUAAUCAGGGAUUGCCUGGUUAUUAAAGCCUUAGGGCGCUCGGAGAGGGGUUUGCGUCUGAUUAGCUAGUUGGUAGGGUAAUGGCCUACCAAGGCGACGAUCAGUAGCUGGUCUGAGAGGAUGUCCAGCCAGAUGAGGACUGAGAUACGGCCUCAACUCCUAUGGGAGGCAGCAGCAAGGAAUAUUGGGCAAUGAGCGAAAGCUUGACCCAGCGACACCGCGUGAGGGAAUAAGGCCUUCGGGUUGUAAACCUCUUUUCUCGGGGAAGAAUAUUGACGGUACUCGAGGAAUAAGUCUCGGCUAACUACGUGCCAGCAGCCGCGGCAAGACGUAGGAGGCAAACGUUAUCCGGAUUUACUGGGCGUAAAGAGAGCGUAGGUGGUUCUUUAAGUCAGGUGUGAAAUCUUUUGGCUUAACCAGAAGGGGUCAUCUGAUACUGGGGGGCUUGAGGACAGCAGAAGAAAAUAGAAUUCCCAGUGUAGCGGUGAAAUGCAUUGAUAUUGGGAAGAACACCAGUGGCGAAGGCGAUUUUCUAGGUUGUUCCUGACACUGAGGCUCGAAAGCGUGGGGAGCGAAGCGGAUUAGAUACCCGCGUAGUCCACGCCGUAAACGGUGGACACUAGAUAUGGGGAGUAUCGACCCUUUUCGUGUCGAAGCUAACGCUUUAAGUGUCCCGCCUGGGAAGACGGCCGCAAGGCU